RNAcentral lists this ribosomal RNA (954 nucleotides) under uncultured bacterium. RNAcentral's name for it is "bacterial SSU rRNA". It matches the Rfam family "Bacterial small subunit ribosomal RNA", at positions 28 to 1026 of the family's 1533-position model. The record is from RNAcentral.
GAUGAACGCUGGCGGCGUGCUUAACACAUGCAAGUCGAACGAACCUUCGGGUGAGUGGCGGACGGGUGAGUAACGCGUGGGAAUCUGCCCUCAGGAGGGGGAUAACGGCUGGAAACGGCCGCUAAUACCCCAUAUGCCGAGAGGUGAAAUGAAUUUCGCCUGAGGAUGAGCCCGCGUCUGAUUAGCUAGUUGGUGAGGUAAGAGCUCACCAAGGCAUCGAUCAGUAGCUGGUCUGAGAGGAUGAUCAGCCACACUGGGACUGAGACACGGCCCAGACUCCUACGGGAGGCAGCAGUGGGGAAUUUUCCGCAAUGGGCGAAAGCCUGACGGAGCAACGCCGCGUGAGGGAUGAAGGCCUCUGGGCUGUAAACCUCUUUUCUCAAGGAAGAAGAUCUGACGGUACUUGAGGAAUAAGCCACGGCUAAUUCCGUGCCAGCAGCCGCGGUAAUACGGGAGUGGCAAGCGUUAUCCGGAAUUAUUGGGCGUAAAGCGUCCGCAGGCGGCCCUUCAAGUCUGCUGUUAAAACGUGGAGCUUAACUCCAUCAUGGCAGUGGAAACUGUUGGGCUCGAGUGUGGUAGGGGCAGAGGGAAUUCCCGGUGUAGCGGUGAAAUGCGUAGAUAUCGGGAAGAACACCAGUGGCGAAGGCGCUCUGCUGGGCCAUAACUGACGCUCAUGGACGAAAGCCAGGGGAGCGAAAGGGAUUAGAUACCCCUGUAGUCCUGGCCGUAAACGAUGAACACUAGGUGUCGGGGGGAAUCGACCCCCUCGGUGUCGUAGCCAACGCGUUAAGUGUUCCGCCUGGGGAGUACGCACGCAAGUGUGAAACUCAAAGGAAUUGACGGGGGCCGCACAAGCGGUGGAAUUAUGGUGGUUUAAUUCGAUGCAACGCGAAGAACCUUACCAGGGUUUGACAUCCUGCGAACCUCUUGGAAACGAGAGGGUGCCUUCGGGAG